UACAGAGGUGGCAAGCGUUGUUCGGAAUUACUGGGCGUAAAGGGCUCGUAGGUGGCCAACUAAGUCAGACGUGAAAUCCCCAGGCUUAACCUGGGAACUGCGUCUGAUACUGGAUGGCUUGAAUUCGGGAGAGGGAUGCAGAAUUCCAGGUGUAGCGGUGAAAUGCGUAGAUAUCUGGAGGAAUACCGGUGGCGAAGGCGGCAUCCUGGACCGAGAUUGACACUGAUGAGCGAAAGCUAGGGGAGCAAACGGG
Molecule: ribosomal RNA, 253 nt
Filed under: uncultured bacterium
Lineage: Bacteria
Description: partial 16S ribosomal RNA
Rfam family: Bacterial small subunit ribosomal RNA
Source: RNAcentral